GAUAAACGCUGGCGGCGUGCCUAAUACAUGCAAGUCGAGCGAACGGACGAGAAGCUUGCUUCUCUGAUGUUAGCGGCGGACGGGUGAGUAACACGUGGAUAACCUACCUAUAAGACUGGGAUAACUUCGGGAAACCGGAGCUAAUACCGGAUAAUAUUUUGAACCGCAUGGUUCAAAAGUGAAAGACGGUCUUGCUGUCACUUAUAGAUGGAUCCGCGCUGCAUUAGCUAGUUGGUAAGGUAACGGCUUACCAAGGCAACGAUGCAUAGCCGACCUGAGAGGGUGAUCGGCCACACUGGAACUGAGACACGGUCCAGACUCCUACGGGAGGCAGCAGUAGGGAAUCUUCCGCAAUGGGCGAAAGCCUGACGGAGCAACGCCGCGUGAGUGAUGAAGGUCUUCGGAUCGUAAAACUCUGUUAUUAGGGAAGAACAUAUGUGUAAGUAACUGUGCACAUCUUGACGGUACCUAAUCAGAAAGCCACGGCUAACUACGUGCCAGCAGCCGCGGUAAUACGUAGGUGGCAAGCGUUAUCCGGAAUUAUUGGGCGUAAAGCGCGCGUAGGCGGUUUUUUAAGUCUGAUGUGAAAGCCCACGGCUCAACCGUGGAGGGUCAUUGGAAACUGGAAAACUUGAGUGCAGAAGAGGAAAGUGGAAUUCCAUGUGUAGCGGUGAAAUGCGCAGAGAUAUGGAGGAACACCAGUGGCGAAGGCGACUUUCUGGUCUGUAACUGACGCUGAUGUGCGAAAGCGUGGGGAUCAAACAGGAUUAGAUACCCUGGUAGUCCACGCCGUAAACGAUGAGUGCUAAGUGCUAGGGGGUUUCCGCCCCUUAGUGCUGCAGCUAACGCAUUAAGCACUCCGCCUGGGGAGUACGACCGCAAGGUUGAAACUCAAAGGAAUUGACGGGGACCCGCACAAGCGGUGGAGCAUGUGGUUUAAUUCGAAGCAACGCGGAGAACCUUACCAAAUCUUGACAUCCUUUGACAACUCUAGAGAUAGAGCCUUCCCCUUCGGGGGACAAAGUGACAGGUGGUGCAUGGUUGUCGUCAGCUCGUGUCGUGAGAUGUUGGGUUAAGUCCCGCAACGAGCGCAACCCUUAAGCUUAGUUGCCAUCAUUAAGUUGGGCACUCUAAGUUGACUGCCGGUGACAAACCGGAGGAAGGUGGGGAUGACGUCAAAUCAUCAUGCCCCUUAUGAUUUGGGCUACACACGUGCUACAAUGGACAAUACAAAGGGCAGCGAAACCGCGAGGUCAAGCAAAUCCCAUAAAGUUGUUCUCAGUUCGGAUUGUAGUCUGCAACUCGACUACAUGAAGCUGGAAUCGCUAGUAAUCGUAGAUCAGCAUGCUACGGUGAAUACGUUCCCGGGUCU
RNAcentral lists this ribosomal RNA (1372 nucleotides) under uncultured bacterium. RNAcentral's name for it is "bacterial SSU rRNA". It matches the Rfam family "Bacterial small subunit ribosomal RNA", at positions 28 to 1381 of the family's 1533-position model. The record is from RNAcentral.